Molecule: ribosomal RNA, 465 nt
Filed under: Vreelandella stevensii
Lineage: Bacteria; Pseudomonadati; Pseudomonadota; Gammaproteobacteria; Oceanospirillales; Halomonadaceae
Description: partial 16S ribosomal RNA
Rfam family: Bacterial small subunit ribosomal RNA
Source: RNAcentral
CCUACGGGUGGCUGCAGUGGGGAAUAUUGGACAAUGGGCGAAAGCCUGAUCCAGCCAUGCCGCGUGUGUGAAGAAGGCCUUCGGGUUGUAAAGCACUUUCAGUGGGGAAGAAAGCCUUGGGGCUAAUACCCUCGAGGAAGGACAUCACCCACAGAAGAAGCACCGGCUAACUCCGUGCCAGCAGCCGCGGUAAUACGGAGGGUGCGAGCGUUAAUCGGAAUUACUGGGCGUAAAGCGCGCGUAGGCGGUCUGAUAAGCCGGUUGUGAAAGCCCCGGGCUCAACCUGGGAACGGCAUCCGGAACUGUCAGGCUAGAGUGCAGGAGAGGAAGGUAGAAUUCCCGGUGUAGCGGUGAAAUGCGUAGAGAUCGGGAGGAAUACCAGUGGCGAAGGAGGCCUUCUGGACUGACACUGACGCUGAGGUGCGAAAGCGUGGGUAGCAAACAGGAUUAGAUACCCCAGUAGUC